RNAcentral lists this ribosomal RNA (460 nucleotides) under uncultured bacterium. RNAcentral describes it as "partial 16S ribosomal RNA". It matches the Rfam family "Bacterial small subunit ribosomal RNA", at positions 338 to 795 of the family's 1533-position model. The record is from RNAcentral.
CCUACGGGGAGCAGCAGUGAGGAAUAUUGGUCAAUGGACGAGAGUCUGAACCAGCCAAGUAGCGUGAAGGAUGACUGCCCUAUGGGUUGUAAACUUCUUUUAUAUGGGAAUAAAACGUUCCACGUGUGGGAUUUUGUAUGUACCAUAUGAAUAAGGAUCGGCUAACUCCGUGCCAGCAGCCGCGGUAAUACGGAGGAUCCGAGCGUUAUCCGGAUUUAUUGGGUUUAAAGGGAGCGUAGGUGGAUUGUUAAGUCAGUUGUGAAAGUUUGCGGCUCAACCGUAAAAUUGCAGUUGAAACUGGCAGUCUUGAGUACAGUAGAGGUGGACGGAAUUCGUGGUGUAGCGGUGAAAUGCUUAGAUAUCACGAAGAACUCCGAUUGCGAAGGCAGUUCACUGGACUGCAACUGACACUGAGGCUCGAAAGUGUGGGUAUCAAACAGGAUUAGAUACCCCUGUAGUC